This 466-nucleotide ribosomal RNA is filed under the name uncultured bacterium. RNAcentral describes it as "partial 16S ribosomal RNA". It matches the Rfam family "Bacterial small subunit ribosomal RNA", at positions 28 to 507 of the family's 1533-position model. The record is from RNAcentral.
GAUGAACGCUGGCGGCGUGCUUAACACAUGCAAGUCGAACGGAAAGGCUCCUGCUUGCAGGGGUACUCGAGUGGCGAACGGGUGAGUAACACGUGGGUGAUCUGCCCUGCACUUCGGGAUAAGCCUGGGAAACUGGGUCUAAUACCGGAUAGGACGAUGGUUUGGAUGCCAUUGUGGAAAGUUUUUUCGGUGUGGGAUGAGCUCGCGGCCUAUCAGCUUGUUGGUGGGGUAAUGGCCUACCAAGGCGUCGACGGGUAGCCGGCCUGAGAGGGUGUACGGCCACAUUGGGACUGAGAUACAGCCCAGACUCCUACGGGAGGCAGCAGUGGGGAAUAUUGCACAAUGGGCGCAAGCCUGAUGCAGCGACGCCGCGUGGGGGAUGACGGCCUUCGGGUUGUAAACUCCUUUCGCUAGGGACGAAGCGCAAGUGACGGUACCUGGAGAAGAAGCACCGGCUAACUACGUG